Molecule: long non-coding RNA, 796 nt
Organism: Nematostella vectensis (starlet sea anemone)
Lineage: Eukaryota; Metazoa; Cnidaria; Anthozoa; Actiniaria; Edwardsiidae
Exons: 3
Source: RefSeq, a predicted model, not a curated record
AUGUAAUCAAGCCGUGGUCACAAUGGGAUGACACAUUCAUAACAAGAUUAUUCCUCUACCUUUCGGCAAGUGCUGGGGCUGAUGUAGCCAAGACCUGAAACACGAGAAGGUUGCAUGCAUCAUGGCGGAUGGAAGCGUCGUUGGCUGACUUGGAGAUAUCAGCGUUAAUAAUUGUGGUUGAUGGCUCUUAAAUGGGAGCUUAUGGAGCACAGUCAAGCUUGCCACAUACUGACCCGAGGUCUUUCUCCUUUCUAAAAAAAAAAAAAUGUAAUCAAGACGUGGUCACAAUGGGAUGGCACAUUCAUAACAAGAUUAUUCCUCUACCUUUCGGCAAGUGCUGGGGCUGAUGUAGCCAAGACCUGAAACACGAGAAGGUUGUGAGUAAGGCAUCUUAAACUGUCUGUCUGCCCUACUGUCUGUCCGUCUGUUGGCCCUACCUUUUCUAACACGGCAUUCAGUAGAUGCUGUAUGAAUACUUUCUGCAACUUCCUGAAGGAAAAUACAAACGUAUCGAUAGUUGGGGAAUGUUACUUUCCACCGGGGAGAACUCUAACAAAAAACACUUACAGCUCUUGCAGCCUGGCCUUCUUCCUUCCUUCAUCCUAUAAGCAUGAAUAGAAUCAUAAAGAAAUAAGUUCUACCUAUGUUGAAAUAAUACAGUUUUUGUAAGGUGGAACUAUAUUAUUGCUUCGCUUUAUUUGCGCAUCUUGCGUUGAUAAACAAAUCAAAACAAAUAAUAAAAGAACAACACUAGAAUAGAUAAGAAAGUUAUAAUAAAAUUGCUUGACUACUCCCA